GUUGCAACAGAAAUUUAAUUAGGCUUUCUUUUAACAUAUACUCUAUCAUUUUUUUCCCCCAACUUAAUUUUAAUAACUCUAGAUUCUACACCUUAUUUUCGCAAACAAAUAUUAGUUUAUGACACAGGAUGGCGCAUUAUGUACUGAUUGUUCAUUUUGUGCUGCUCUGGUUCACAGAUCGUUCAUUAAGCAGCAAAAUCAUUCAGACUACUGAUGUGAUUGAGAAUCCAGGAAAUAAUGUGAACCUCAGUUGCACUCAUACUUACAAGGACUUUUUUUACCUUUUCUGGUACCAACAAACAAGACAAGACACAUCACUGAAGCUUACUGGAUAUCUCUACACAACAACCUUCAAUAAGGAGACGGACUAUGAGAAGCGCUUUCAUAUUUACGGAGAUGCAAAAAGUGAAGGGAUCCUGCAGAUCUCCAACCUUAAUUCACAUGAUAGUGCAGUGUAUUUCUGUGCUGUUAGAGAAAGCACAGUGUCACGGUUAUCUGCUAUGUACUUCAAAAACUCCCUGUAUUAUAGUUAUGUAUGCUAUCUGCACAUCUCCAGCUGCUUCUGCUACAGAACGAAAAAGCAACAACUGAUCUUACUCUACACAUAGUGUUCCAUGAAUGUAUUACACUAUGUUUAAUAUUACAUUUAAUUUGACAUUUUCUGAUAUAAUGGGAGUUUGCAUGUUAUCCCCGUGCUGCGGGGGUUUCCUCUGGGUACUCCGGUUUCCUCCCCCAGUCCAAAGACAUGCAUGGUAGGCUGAUUGGCAUGUCCAAACUGUCCGUAGUGUAUGAAUGGGUGUGUGAAUGUGUAUGUGAGUGUGCCCUGUGAUGGAUUGGCACCCUGCCCAGGGUGUACCCCGCCUUGUGCCCGAUGCUCCCUGGGAUAGGCUCCAGGUUUCCCCGUGACCCUAAAGAAGGAUAAGCGGUAUAGAAAUGGAUGGAUGGAUUUUCUGAUAUAAUGUGUGUGAACUAGAGAUGCUUCAUGUGACAAAUGUAUCAUAUUGCAAUGCAUAAAGACAUAUCACAUAAUUUCAUAAUUUAUAUCACAGCUGCAUCGCGUGAAAACAGCUUCUCAUUGCGCAGACUUGCUUCUUGCAUUUCUGGCACAUUCCUAUGUUCUAGCUGUAUGUUUGUAUCUUGCUUAUUAUAAUAAUGUUUUCAUAAUAAGCUAGAGAUAAUGAUAUGAUAGUAUCUCUUGCCUUCCUAGUCUAGGCUGGUGGCUUAGUGAUUCCACAAUUGUGGUAGCAUUUGUGUUAUGUUUGCAAAUAUGUAUGUAAAAGAAAGGCAAAACACAUUUUAAACAAAUUUUAAUUUUCUUUCACAACA
This is a non-coding RNA of Ictalurus furcatus (blue catfish), 1326 nucleotides long. NCBI's taxonomy places the organism in Eukaryota, Metazoa, Chordata, Actinopteri, Siluriformes, Ictaluridae. The record is from the annotation of a RefSeq genome assembly.